RNAcentral lists this microRNA precursor (74 nucleotides) under Gongylonema pulchrum. Its description in RNAcentral is "mir-84 microRNA precursor family". It matches the Rfam family "mir-84 microRNA precursor family". Lineage: Eukaryota; Metazoa; Nematoda; Chromadorea; Rhabditida; Gongylonematidae. The record is from Rfam by way of RNAcentral.
UAGGCCGAUGAGGUAGUUUAUAAAGCUGCGAGAGUGUCUCGAAUUCGCAGAUUUUAAGCUAUCUCGACUGCCUU